GAUGAACGCUGGCGGCGUGCCUAAUACAUGCAAGUCGAGCGAACAGACGAGGAGCUUGCUCCUUUGACGUUAGCGGCGGACGGGUGAGUAACACGUAGGUAACCUACCUAUAAGACUGGGAUAAUUUCGGGAAACCGGAGCAAAUACCGGAUAAGAUUUCGAACCGCAUGGUUCGAUAGUGAAAUAUGGCUGUGCGAGCACGUAUAGAGGGACAUGCGCCUUAUUAGCUAGUUGGGAAGGUAACGGCUUACCAAGGCAACGAUACGUAGACGACCUGAGAGGGUGAUCGGCCACACUGGAACUGAACCACGGUCCAGACUCCUACGGGAGGAACCAGUAGGGAAUCUUACGCAAUAGGCGAAAGCCUGACGGAGCGACGCCGCGUGAGUGAUGACGGUCUUCGGAUCGUAAAACUCUGUUAUUAGUGAAGAACAACCGUGUACGUAACUGUGCACGUAUUGACGGUAACUAAUCAGAAAGCAACGGCUAACUACGUG
RNAcentral lists this ribosomal RNA (497 nucleotides) under uncultured bacterium. RNAcentral's name for it is "partial 16S ribosomal RNA". It matches the Rfam family "Bacterial small subunit ribosomal RNA", at positions 28 to 507 of the family's 1533-position model. The record is from RNAcentral.